Oncorhynchus tshawytscha (Chinook salmon) is the source of this 455-nucleotide long non-coding RNA. The record is from Ensembl. NCBI's taxonomy places the organism in Eukaryota, Metazoa, Chordata, Actinopteri, Salmoniformes, Salmonidae.
UGCGUGCGUGCGUGCGAGUGGUGUCUCAGGGUGGUGGGGUGUGUGUGCGUGCGAGUGGUGUCUCAGGGUGUGUGUGCGUGUGUGCGUGCGAGUGGUGUCUCAGGGUGUGUGUGUGUGUGUGUGUGCGAGUGGUGUCUCAGGGUGGGGGUGUGUGUGUGUGUGCGAGUGGUGUCUCAGGGGGUGUGUGUGUGUGUGUGUGUGCGAGUGGUGUCUCAGGGUGUGUGUGUGUGUGUGUGUGCGAGUGGUGUCUCAGGGUGUGUGUGCGUGUGUGUGGUGCGAGUGGUGUCUCAGGGUGUGUGUGCGUGUGUGUGCGAGUGGUGUCUCAGGGUGUGUGUGUGUGUGUGCGAGUGGUGUCUCAGGGUGUGUGUGUGUGUGUGUGUGUGUGCGAGUGGUGUCUCAGGGUGUGUGUGCGUGCGUGCGAGUGGUGUCUCAGGGUGUGUGUGUGUGCGUGCGAG